Molecule: ribosomal RNA, 467 nt
Filed under: uncultured bacterium
Lineage: Bacteria
Description: partial 16S ribosomal RNA
Rfam family: Bacterial small subunit ribosomal RNA
Source: RNAcentral
GACGAACGCUGGCGGCGUGCUUAACACAUGCAAGUCGAACGGAAAGGCCCUGCUUUUGUGGGGUGCUCGAGUGGCGAACGGGUGAGUAACACGUGAGUAACCUGCCCUUGACUUUGGGAUAACUUCAGGAAACUGGGGCUAAUACCGGAUAGGAGCUCCUGCUGCAUGGUGGGGGUUGGAAAGUUUCGGCGGUUGGGGAUGGACUCGCGGCUUAUCAGCUUGUUGGUGGGGUAGUGGCUUACCAAGGCUUUGACGGGUAGCCGGCCUGGGAGGGUGACCGGCGACAGUGGACCGGGGUUGCGGCCAGACUCCUACGGGAGGCAGCAGUGGGGAAUAUUGCACAAUGGGCGGAAGCCUGAUGCAGCAACGCCGCGUGCGGGAUGACGGCCUUCGGGUUGUAAACCGCUUUCGCCUGUGACGAAGCGUGAGUGACGGUAAUGGGUAAAGAAGCACCGGCUAACUACGUG